UUUUUUUUUUUUUUUGGUAAAAGCCUUUUGUACUAGUUAUGCACCUUUCACAAAUUGAUUUCAGAUGUCCCAAAAUCCCUUUUGGUAAUUAGAAAUCUUUAGUUUCCCACUUGUUUCUUCUUUUUUACACAUGAAAUCAUGGCCCAAAUUCUUACUUAAAACAACUAUUGUAGCUCUUUCAUUAUUGAUGAUCAUCAAAGCAUAUAUCUUCAAUCUUGAAAAGCAAUAACUAAUCAAGAUUUCUUCCACUUGCAACCCAAUAAAGCAAAACCCAAUUAUUUGUGAUGACCCAAGAAAGAACAAAAGCAAGAACUAUAUUGUAAGUAAUAAACAAAUAACAAGGAAGCAAAGGCAAAGAAGAUUCUUGAUGUCAUUGUUUGUUGUUACAAUCACAAAUUUCUUUAUACCAAUCCAAAGGCUGAGAUCUACAUCCUUUCUAGUAGACCCCACCAUAAAUUAUUACAACUUCCCCUUCCUCCCCCCAUGU
RNAcentral lists this long non-coding RNA (487 nucleotides) under Prunus persica (peach). RNAcentral describes it as "long non-coding RNA (PPER_LNC000436)". Lineage: Eukaryota; Viridiplantae; Streptophyta; Magnoliopsida; Rosales; Rosaceae. The record is from RNAcentral.